AUGACGGAGGCGGAGGCGGCGGCGAGAGUGGUGGUGGGGGAGGCGGCUGUUCGGGUGGAGCCCCCCUCCGGUACCGACGGUGUGGUUCUGGCGGCGGCGGAGCUUCGAGUGGUGAUCUCGAACCAAGAAGUCCCAUUGAUACUGCUGGGGUUUGGUCACGUUGGCCAGAAGACGCCGGAGUUGGCACCGGUGGCGUGUAACAGGAGCGAGCUCGGCCUUCCUCUGUGGACUUCGAAGUGA
RNAcentral lists this ribosomal RNA (240 nucleotides) under Triticum aestivum (bread wheat). RNAcentral's name for it is "partial small subunit ribosomal RNA". Lineage: Eukaryota; Viridiplantae; Streptophyta; Magnoliopsida; Poales; Poaceae. The record is from RNAcentral.